UGUACAUUUUAAAAGGAUUUAAAAAGCUGAGAAGAUGAAAAAUGAAUCUUUUUCUAUCAAUUAUUUACCUCUCUAAGGGCCUAGAAUACAUUGCAUUGUGCGGAUGCUGGAGUGCUUGUAUGAUAACACAGUCUCCAAUGGGAUCACUUUGUAUUGGUAGUUAAUAUAGUGGAAUAAUUCCUGAGCACAUAAUAAAUCCAACGUUUUCUACAUCAGAUUCUGUAGCGUGGGAGGCCAUGAAGUAAAAAAACUGGAAAGCACCUGUUUCUUUUUAGAAUAAAAGCUAAUUAUACUUGAUUCAUAGGUCUACAGAUAGUGUCAAGACGUGCGCAACAGAAAGCUUUGGUAAGUAGCACUGUGGUGAAAGGCAGAUGAGAUCUGGGGUCUGUGUUACUUUGUAAAUGGGAUUUACCUAUUACUUUAAAAUAUUUCAAAGAGUUAUUUAAAUAAGAUGCCCACAGAAAAGCUGAUAGAGGGGAGUAUGGUGCUUGCAGGCUGGCACUUGACCAAGGUUAUUGUCCUCAAAUUGUGAGGGGAACGUGGGAGGUUGCAGUGGUUGGGCUCAGCCACUUUUCCAUCUGCUGUCAUUCUAAUAAUAAUCCUCAUUUUAUACAUUACUGAAUUCUGUAUGGCCAUAAUAUCUUGAUUCUUUUAAUGGUUGUCUGUACAUACAAGUGUAAGACAUCACUGUCCUCAGAACACGUUGAACAUGCAUUAAGCAUGCAAAAUCACUUUUUAUUUCCUGUAGACUUUUUAAGUUCUCUAGUACCACCAGGGACUACUGAGUCAGCUUUGGAUACUUUUCUUUCCUAAUAAGCUAUGUAAAACUGUAGAAAUGCAGGUGAAGUACUACGGAGUACAUGUCUGCUGACACCUGGUAAUUUUUAUUGUUCCUCCCAUAAAGACAGUUGGGAAAGAUGCGUCACUCAUCUGGACAGAUUUACUCAGGAAGGAAGCUUUCCUCAGUUGAAGUAAAUGCUUUUCUCCAAAAGCACCGAUGGAAGGAAUGGCCUUGCCACUCAUGCCUUGAAAUGCAAGUAUUGGGAUUUGUCACAGGUAAUGUGGUCUUAGUUGUUCUGUGUUGUUGAUCUGGCCUUUGCAAGUGCCGCUGUGCCUUUUUGUGGAAUCAAACACCUCGACAUAAUUGUUCCCGGUGAGUAAGCUCCCCUUUGAGCCCUGGUUUUAUUAACAUUUACAAGAAAAUCAGCUCCACCUUUCAUGUUAUUUCUCCAGGUUCUGGGCUUGCUCUGCAGUCAGGGCUGGUUGCUCUGGCUGGCAGGGCUUUAAUUCGGACUGCUGAGGGACAGUCUCUGUAUCAGCCAGCACUGAUGCUAUUUCAUCAUCUAAAUACCUUCUUUAUAUUCUGCAAGGGUUGGGAACUUCCUGUCACAAAGGAAUUAGUUCUUCCCAGCCUAGCCUAUUAAAAAAUCACAUCAUCUUUAUGUUCCUGUUGGCCUCUUUGGAGAAUUGACUUCAUGCAAUGCUCCUUGUUUAAAAAAUGAUGAUGUGAUUGAUAUCAAGAAAAAGCUAUAGCUAUUUUCUGAUGGAACAUGCUAAUUAUGGUCUGGGUUCAAGAGCUGAAGGAAAAUUUCGAUCAUGUUGUGCUGGUAGUAUUUAAGUGUACUCAAGCAACAAGAGUACAGGGCCUUUGCUGACAUUCUGAAUUUAAAUCAAAAAUAUUUUAAAACUUUUAAACUUGUUUUUAAAAAAACACCAAAACCGCAAAACACAAUAUCCUAAUACAUCCAAUUCUGAAAAGUGGUGAAAUGAGGUGGCAUCAAAUUAAAGAACGACAAGAAAAAGAAAAAGCUUCUAGUCUGGUAUGUUGUUUACCGUUCGAAAUGUUGAGUGGCCAUGGGCUAAGCAAAGUCGAUCAAAUCUGGGGAUUCUUACUGUCCAUUUGAAAUUCUGAAUCUAUUCAAACCAAGCACAUAAAAAUACCUAGUGAAGCACCCUGAGCAGCAAGUGGAGCAUUCUGAACAUUCACUCAACCAUGUGUUUUUCUCUUGGUUGCUAACUUAAAUUGCUGUUAUUGAUUUUUCUGUUUCUGGUUAACAUAUUAAAGUACAAUUCAUUUUUAUCCAGAUAUAUUUUAUCACAGUGUGCCCUUUGAGAGAAUUUUCUUCAUAAUAUUGAAAUGCUUUUCUUCUGGUCAAGUAGUGUAUUUUAUAUUAAUACCGCUGUUAUUUUCCCCGACUGAGGUACCGGGGUUGCUGGAGAAUGAAAACAUUAAUUUCAAGAGUAGCAGGGGUUUUCUCCUUAUUGACACUGGAGCAAUCUUGGAGUGCUAAGAAUCUAAUUUCAUUCUUUCUGUUUUGGAGGGUUCUGAUGUAGAUUAAGAAAAUAAAUUGCUGCUGAUAUUCCUUACUCUGAUGGCUGCAAUAACCGAGAGAUCAGCUCCGAAAGGGUAAUGUCACCUCUGUCCUGCCCCGCCGUGAAAGGUGCAACGUGGGGCUGUAACAUCUGGGGAGCAACAUAGGGUAAAAUCCCUCCAGUGACUGCCUGCCUGGAGUUAUUGUGUGGAUUAUUUGACCAGUUGAUUGGAAAAUUACAUAAUAAUUGUUAUUUGGCAUAGACCAACUUGGGAAAACCAAAUAAAUUUGUGAAAUACAUCAAUAUUCUAAACCAUAGUUUCUUUUAAUUUAAAAUCAAAUUACCGGAGUGUAGGGAAUCUCUAGCGUGAGUAAGAGCAAGUAUUGGUUUCUUGCUUUGUGGCUUUAAUUAUGAGCCGCAAGGGCAAGUUUCCUUCUAUCUGAAACAGCAAAAUCACAGAAAAUGGGGAUAUAAGGACAAGAUCUGCUUCUUGAAGCCAACGUGGCUUCUGUAGCAACUUUUAGGAAAAAGUUGAAGCAAUCUCAGCCAGAAUACACUCACUGAAAGAUUUGGCUCUAUCUCGGAAAUCUCGAUAUCUUGGUGAAAAUCUGAGUGAGCCACAAGAAUCUCAUGAACAUGUGAUGGAGGAGUCAGGAAAACGUGGGACAGGGAAAACCAGACCUUUUGAUUUUCUUCCCUCUCCCUUGGUCUUUUUACAUUAUUUCUUAGUGAAGACUGCUCACCUACGGGCCAAACUAACUGAAGAAAUUAGUUUGAACCAAAAUUAGAUUUAGUGUGUUUGGCCAUUAAACAUUUGUGUUUUAAAUGAUGUAAUAGUACCAAUGUAUGGAAAAAUGGCCUUAACAAAAUGCCAUCCUCAGAGGUGUGCUGCAGAACACGUGGGUGCCACCAGGCAGGAACCCCAAAUCUGGGAGGUCCUGAUCAGCUGCCAAGGAUAAUUCUGUGGAUGAUGUGUCCUCCAGAUGAGGUCCAGUUCAGAACCCUGUGGACGAUGUGUCCUCCAAAUGAGAUCCAGUUCAGAACCCUGUGGAUGAUGUGUCCUCCAAAUCAGGUCCAGUUCAGAACCCUGUGGAUGAUGUGUCCUCCAGAUGAGGUCCGGUUCAGAACCCUGUGGAUGAUGUGUCCUCCAGAUGAGGUCCGGUUCAGAACCCUGUGGAUGAUGUGUCCUCCAGAUGAGGUCCAGUUCACAACUUUGCAGGCCAGGAGCUCACACAUCUACCGCACGGUGCCCGGAAUAGCAAUGGAGGUGGGUACAGGGCCAUCUGAUAAGACCGCAGGUGUUACAUCGGUCAGAGAAGACAUUUCCCUAGGUAAGUAAUGUAAAAUAAGUGCCAGUGUUAAGAGAUUUAACGGCUGCAGAUCUUGGUGAUUAAAAGCCGAGCUGUCUGUUACCAAAAAUAAUCUCUGGGAUGGCAUAGGGUGCUGUUGGCAUGAAAGUAUACAUUCAUAACGGAGGAAUAUUUAAAUUGCAGUGGCUUUGGGCACUGCCAUGCGUUUGCUUUCAAGCAUGUAAAGUGUGUGUGAUGGGAACCCGUGUCCCUGGCAAAAAUCAAGUGUGUGCUUGGGUGGGGGGGUUAAUUAGCCAAAUAUCCUUGUGUCCAUCCUGCCUCUUGUGCAUCAGGGCACAGGGGCUGCAGGUUGGGAGGAGGGGGCACCGCUCCCUACAGAAAGAUAAAUCGAAUUAUAGUGAGCUUACACUAUAUUAACGUUCAUAUACCUGAAAACCUGUGUGAGGUGAGAAUUUGCAUUUAGCAGACAGGGGGGCUGAAAGGCAGGUGUGGAUUUGGGGGUGACCAAGGGAUGGGGAGGGUUUGCUCCAGCAGUGGAAGGGGUGAGAGCUGUGGGCUGGUGCAAGGGGCACCCACAGUGCACCCCAACAUGUGAGAUACUACACUGGACUGGGAACACCACGAGAAACUCAUCCUGGAAAACACCAACCAAAAGAAAACCAAAGCCCAUAGAAAUACACAUAAUCUAGCGAUAUUUUCUAUCUGAUGAUAGAAAAAAAUGUAAUAGCAGCUAAUAGUGGAUUGUCUUAAAAUUUCAAAUGGCUUUUUGAAUUUCUGAAGGAAGAGUAAACAAAAAUGCAGGCAAAUCCCCAGAAUAUAAUCCUUACAAGCGGAGCUCUGCAUCUGUAUGAGCCGUUGUCAGUGAGCGUGGACCCUGCACCAGGGCUAAAAACCAAUUCCCCCCUGCCUUGCGCAGAGCGAGUUGCUGUGAAAGCUGCUGAAUCCCCCGGGACCGUGUCUGCCUGGCUUCGGAUCAAAAGCAAAAUUCAAUUCUGAAGCUCUUUGAAAAAAAUAAUGUAUAUAAACAAGAUGUGCUUCUGGGAUACUGGCUUAGCUGUGUGUCUUUGAGCAGGUGUUGGUAAAUGGAGAUGAAAAUCCUGGUUCCUGGGGAAGCAAGAUGUGUUGAGUGGUGGCAGCAGAGACUCUGCUGACUCUGAAACUGGGGACAUCAGAGGCUGCUGCCAGCACUGACCAGCCCUGGCUGGUCUCUUCACCAUACAGCAGCAUCUCUGGGAUGCUGCAGGUGCCUCAUCUCUCCCCACAACAUUGGGUUGGGGGUUUGGGUGGGACCCUAGGGACAAACCCCACUUUGUCUCUGCUGGGGACACCCCUUCUGCUCUGUCCCCAACCACUGCUGGGGUGGCUUUAGCAAUGGGUGCUUAGUAAAUGGACCACAACCAUGAUUUCAGUUUUGGGUAUCUCAUGCCAAGAAAGGCCUUGAGGUGCUGGAGCGAGUGGAGAGAAGGGAACGGAGCUGGUGAGGGGCUGGAGCACAAGUGUGAUGGGAGCGGCUGAGGGACCUGGGGGGUUCUGCUGGAGAACAGGAGCUGAGGGGAGACCUUCUGAUCUCUGAACUGCCUGAAAGGAGCUUGGAGCCAGGGGGGUCGGGCUCUGCUCCCCAGGAACAAGCGCCAGGAGCAGAGGAAACGGCCUCAAGUUGCCCAGGGGAGGUUGAGGUUGGAUCUGGGAACAAUUUCUUCCCCAAAGGGCUGUGGGGCAUUGGAACAGGCUGCCCAGGGCAGUGCUGGAGUCACCAGCCCUGGAGGGUUGGACAGACGGGGAUGAGGUUCUCAGGACAUGGGGCAGGGACAGGGGUGAGUUAUGGGUGGACUUGAUAAGGGUCUCUUCCAACCUAAAGUAGUCUUACCUGCAGGGUCAUGUUUGAACUGACUAGUAAAGCUGCCCUGCUUAAGGAGCUGGUGUAGGGCAGAGAAUUGGAAGCAUGAGGAAAAGUACUCCUAGUACUCCUGCUUGGACAAAUUCAGCUUCUUAGCUAUGUAUUGUUAAUUAAUAGAGGUAAACCCCUUCAGGAAAGUCUUUUUCAGAGAAAUUCAGCUGAGUGAAGUUAGGAUCAUAGUGCCUAAAUGCAUAACUACUUUGUCACUUGUGUACUGUCUGUUCUACUUAAAUCUGAGUUAUAUGUCAAAAAAAUAAGGACCGCACGUCAGAGACACCACUUACUCCCUCCUCUCACCACUGUGGCACUUGGGGAUGCUCUGAAUUUGCUCAUGUCAGGCUUAAUGGGACAGAGUUUCGGCUGGAAAAAACAAACCAAAACCAAACCAAGCCCAGCAGAAAAUAGAGCCCCAGACUCUGUCCUGUAAUCUUCAGCAAAACAUGGCAAUAACUGGAAAUUAGGGGCAGUCUAACUGUGGCAGAUCUGCACGGGGCAAUUCUUUUCCUUUUUCUGCAAGCAUAAGUUAAUUUGUGUCUAGUUUGCUGUUUUCAUGCCUAGACUGCUGCUCCCGCCUGGCCAGCCAAGACAUUGCCACCCCGCUUCUUUUUCUCUUUGUUGUGAUGAUGAUGCAUGCGGAUACUUUUGUUAUGUUGGAAAAUCAGAUAUUGUAAGAAAUAAAUGGGUAAACUGUGCAUCUUUGGCUACAAAAGGAUGCUCCCGUGCUUGUAAGGAAACCUCGUUGCUCUCCCAUUCUUUAGGGUGAUCUAAAUGUAAUGCUUUUGCCCUGGUAUUUCAUCAGGAACCUUUACAACAAGGAGUGUGUAGUAAUUACGAGAUAACAACAGGAAUGAUCGUCUUUCCAAUUACUCCUUACAAACCACAAAGCUGUGAUUUGAAUCCCUCGCAUGGCAGACUACACAAGCAGAGGUGGAAUUUUCCUGCUCCUAUUAGAGGAGAAAAUAAGAGGAUUGUUGUAUUCAUGUUAUGUCAACAGAGCCGGAGCUGUGAGUCAACACAAGUUAAAUCUUAAAGAAUAGAACUUUUGGCAGAAAACUUCUGAGCUCUGCAGCUGUUCCAGGGGAGUGAAAUCAGCAGGAAGGAGCUUCUUGGUGUAAUUGGAAAAAUUGCUUUUGCAUUAAGAAUAAACCAACCGGAAAAAUGUUGUCCUUUUUCUUUUUUAAACAAGGGUUUACUUUUGCAUUGCUUGACAUAAUGCAUAAUAAAAGAUGGUAACUUCUCAAUCUUUUAAAUACUGGUUAUUUUGGAUGAUCUUUGAACAGGCAAAUCAGCUACUCAUUGUACUGAAGUCCUUCUCAGAGAAGAACCCCCACUAUGCUUUA
Molecule: long non-coding RNA, 6860 nt
Organism: Columba livia (rock pigeon)
Lineage: Eukaryota; Metazoa; Chordata; Aves; Columbiformes; Columbidae
Exons: 4
Source: RefSeq, a predicted model, not a curated record